Molecule: ribosomal RNA, 126 nt
Filed under: Anelosimus guacamayos
Lineage: Eukaryota; Metazoa; Arthropoda; Arachnida; Araneae; Theridiidae
Description: partial 5.8S ribosomal RNA
Rfam family: 5.8S ribosomal RNA
About the family: 5.8S ribosomal RNA (5.8S rRNA) is a component of the large subunit of the eukaryotic ribosome. It is transcribed by RNA polymerase I as part of the 45S precursor that also contains 18S and 28S rRNA. Functionally, it is thought that 5.8S rRNA may be involved in ribosome translocation.
Source: RNAcentral
UGGGACGAUGGAAGAACGGAGCCAGCUGCGAGACUUGGUGUGAAUUGCAGGACACAUUGAGCACUGAUUUUUCGAACGCGCAUUGCGGCCUCGGGUCCUGCCCGGGGCCUCGCCUGUCUGAGGGUC